Molecule: unclassified non-coding RNA, 377 nt
Filed under: plant metagenome
Description: partial contains 5.8S ribosomal RNA, internal transcribed spacer 2, and large subunit ribosomal RNA
Rfam family: 5.8S ribosomal RNA (bases 1-104)
Source: RNAcentral
AAAUGCGAUAAGUAAUGUGAAUUGCAGAAUUCAGUGAAUCAUCGAAUCUUUGAACGCACCUUGCGCUCCUUGGUAUUCCUUGGAGCAUGCCUGUUUGAGUAUCAUGAAAUCUUCAAAGUAAAUCUUUUGUUAACUCAAUUGGUUUCUACUUUGGUAUUGGAGGUCUUUGCAGCUUCACACCUGCUCCUCUUUGUUCAUUAGCUGGAUCUCAGUGUUAUGCUUGGUUCCACUCGGCGUGAUAAGUUAUCUAUCGCUGAGGACACUGUAAAAGGUGGCCAAGGUAAAUGCAGAUGAACCGCUUCUAAUAGUCCAUUGACUUGGACAAUACUUUUAUGAUCUGAUCUCAAAUCAGGUGGGACUACCCGCUGAACUUAAGC